Molecule: RNA transcript, 1682 nt
Organism: Panicum hallii
Lineage: Eukaryota; Viridiplantae; Streptophyta; Magnoliopsida; Poales; Poaceae
Gene name: peroxisome biogenesis protein 7
Exons: 3
Source: RefSeq, a predicted model, not a curated record
GCACAGGAUACAAGGAAAAAUAAAAGGGAAAAGGGAAAAAAAUAAAAUCCAAGUCUUACCCGAGUCCCCCUUUCCCGAUCCGCCGGCCGAUCCACCCACCGCCGCCCCGCCAUGCCGGCGUUCAAGGCCCCGGCGCCGGGCUUCGCCGUCCGCUUCAGCCCGUUCCACGAGAACCGCCUCCUCGCCGCGGCGUCGCAGCACUUCGGCCUCGUCGGCAACGGCCACCUCAUCGUCCUCGACCUCGCCGCCGCGGGGCCCGGGCCCGGCGCCGCCCCGGUCCCGGUCUUCUCCUUCCCCACCUCCGACGCGCUCUUCGACUGCGUCUGGUCCGAGUCCCACGAGUCCCUCUGCGCCGCCGCGUCCGGGGACGGCUCCGUGCGCCUCUUCGACGCCGCGCUCCCGCCGGCGCAGAACCCCGUGCGCCUCCUCCGGGAGCACGCGCGCGAGGUCCACGGCCUCGAUUGGAACCCCGUCCGCCGGGACGCUUUCGUCUCCGCCUCCUGGGACGACACGCUCAAGCUCUGGUCACCCGACCGCCCGGCCUCCGUCCGCACCUUCCGCGGCCACGAGUACUGCGUCUACGCCGCCGCCUGGUCCGCGCGCCACCCGGACGUCUUCGCCUCCGCCUCCGGCGACCGCACCGCGCGGGUCUGGGACGUGCGCGACCCGGCGCCCACGCUCAUCCUGCCCGCGCACGACCACGAGGUGCUCUCGCUCGACUGGGACAAGUACGACCCGUCCAUCCUCGCCACCGCCUCCGUCGACAAGUCCAUCCGCGUCUGGGACGUGCGAGCGCCGCGGGCGCCCGUCGCGCAGCUCGCCGGCCACGGCUACGCCGUCAAGCGCGUCCGCUUCUCCCCGCAUCGCCAGGGCAUGCUCAUGUCCUGCUCAUACGACAUGACCGUGUGCAUGUGGGACUACCGCGCCGAGGACGCGCUGCUCGCCAGGUACAACCACCACACCGAGUUCGUCGCUGGCAUCGACAUGAGCGUGCUCGUCGACGGGCUGCUUGCCAGCACCGGCUGGGACGAGAUGGUCUACAUCUGGCCCUUUGGGACCGAUCCCAGAGCCAUGUAGCAAAACAAAUCCAAUUCAAUAGACCAGGGUAAAUACUUUAUGGAAGAGGAUCAGACGGCAUGGUUUGAAGGAUAUGAGAAAUGAUAUAUAGCAAGGGACAGACUGCGACCACAGCCUUGAUGAGAAAAUUUGUAGUGAGCAAGAAGAUGUUAUGUUUAUCAAGUGCUCGUAACAGAUUUGAUUCAACGUGGAGAAUCAGCAACCAAAGAUAAGCGUAAGGGUAAGGGUGCUGCUGGGAGGAGUCCUUCCAAAACGGCUUCACAUGCAAAGCUAAAGAAGUUGGUGAAGCAACAGGAAAUUGACUUCUAUUUCAUUUUUGCCUCGCAAAUAGGCCCUUUAAACUAAUCUCGUGGUGCUGGAUCACAAAAGACUGAAAGCGCAGGCUCAGGAGGCUGCUCCUGCUUGUUGGCAUGCUAGGAAUUCUUUGAUAACCCAUCGCCUAUAAUCUUUUUGUCUCCUGUUUUUGACGAUUGGUUUGCAGUAGGAUAAGCCCAGUACAUAUAUGAUACAUGGGAUGCCCUGCAAUGGUUCCGACACCUCUCUCUGGCCCAUCUGACCUCUUUAGACGGGCCUGGCAGAAGAAGCCUCCAUCCAGAUCUUUGCAA